This 25-nucleotide non-coding RNA is filed under the name Rattus norvegicus (Norway rat). The record is from RNAcentral. Lineage: Eukaryota; Metazoa; Chordata; Mammalia; Rodentia; Muridae.
UGCUGGAAUUCUCCGUGCCUUCCAG